GAGCUGAGUUUUUCUUCCUUCUCCAGUUACAUCAGGCAUCUUCUAGUCUCUGAGAGUGUCAUGUUCCAUUGGUGUUUGAAAUUGUGAAUUUUAAGUGUCAAUGUGGCUAAGCUAUGGUGCCCAGCUCUUUGACCCAACACUGGCCUAAGUGGUGCCAUGAAAGUAAUUUUUGAUGUGAUUAAUACUUACAUUAGUCAAGGAGAGCACACCACCCUCAUUAAGAGAGAGGUUUUCUGAUGCAGAGGAUGCUCCUCGAAACAUAGAACUCCCGCCUGAGUCUCAGCCUGUUCUAUACUAUUUGGAUCUCAAUAUUGCAAUGCUUACUUUUAUCUGAAUUUCCAGACUGCCAGCUGACCUACAGAUUGCAAACUUGCCAUCCCUCAUGCAAUCAGGUUGCAGUAUAAAAGAGAGAAACCUCUGAAAGACUGGAUCCAUGAAGGACUGCGGUGGAGCACAGCCUCCUGCUCAUGUAUGUGGGACAGAAAGUUGUGUCAAGAAUGAAGAUGAAGAGAACUGCAGAUUUCAAAACUAAGAGAUAAAAGAAACAACCAGCAGGAGAUCUAAUUAUUCUGCUCCUAAUCCAUAUUGUAAAAUCCUCUGCUAAUGCUAGCACCCAAGGGACCAAAGAUGUAAUCUGCUUGAACAAGUUAUUAACAAAAAA
This is a long non-coding RNA of Ictidomys tridecemlineatus (thirteen-lined ground squirrel), 661 nucleotides long. RefSeq lists it as uncharacterized. Lineage: Eukaryota; Metazoa; Chordata; Mammalia; Rodentia; Sciuridae. The record is from RefSeq and is a predicted model, not a curated record.